This 492-nucleotide ribosomal RNA is filed under the name uncultured bacterium. RNAcentral describes it as "partial 16S ribosomal RNA". It matches the Rfam family "Bacterial small subunit ribosomal RNA", at positions 30 to 507 of the family's 1533-position model. The record is from RNAcentral.
AUUGAACGCUGGCGGCAUGCUUUACACAUGCAAGUCGAACGGUAACAGGCCUUCGGGUGCUGACGAGUGGCGAACGGGUGCGUAAUGCAUCGGAACGUGCCCAGAGGUGGGGGAUAACGCAGCGAAAGCUGUGCUAAUACCGCAUGUGAUCUGAGGAUGAAAGCGGGGGACCAGGCAGCAAUGUUUGGCCUCGCGCCUUUGGAGCGGCCGAUGUCGGAUUAGGUAGUUGGUGGGGUAAAGGCCUACCAAGCCGACGAUCUGUAGCUGGUCUGAGAGGACGACCAGCCACACUGGGACUGAGACACGGCCCAGACUCCUACGGGAGGCAGCAGUGGGGAAUUUUGGACAAUGGGCGCAAGCCUGAUCCAGCAAUGCCGCGUGCGGGAAGAAGGCCUUCGGGUUGUAAACCGCUUUUGUACGGAACGAAAAGGCUCUGGCUAAUACCUGGGGCUGAUGACGGUACCGUAAGAAUAAGCACCGGCUAACUACGUG